RNAcentral lists this unclassified non-coding RNA (1045 nucleotides) under Lactococcus lactis. RNAcentral describes it as "galE". The record is from RNAcentral. Lineage: Bacteria; Bacillati; Bacillota; Bacilli; Lactobacillales; Streptococcaceae.
GAAAAUGGAGGAUCUUAUGACAGUUUUAGUACUUGGUGGAGCAGGAUAUGUAGGAAGCCAUGCGGUAGAUAUGCUUGUUAAUCGUGGUUACGAUGUGGCAGUUGUUGAUAAUUUAGUAACAGGUCAUCGCGAGGCUGUGUCAGAAAAAGUACGUUUUUAUGAGGGAGAUGUACGGGACCAUGCUUUCUUAGCUAGUGUUUUUGAAAAGGAAAAUAUUGAAGGAAUUAUGCAUUUUUGCGCUUAUUCAUUAGUGGGUGAGUCAAUGCAAAAACCAUUGAUGUAUUUCAAUAACAAUGUCGGCGGAGCUCAGGUGAUUCUAGAAACAAUGGAAGAAUUUGGUGUUAAGCAUAUUGUUUUCUCAAGUACCGCAGCUACUUUUGGUAUUCCUGAGGAAAGUCCAAUUUCUGAAAAAACACCACAAAAACCAAUUAAUCCUUACGGCGAAAGUAAAUUAAUCAUGGAAAAAAUGAUGAAAUGGCAAUCGCAAGCCACAGAUAUGACUUAUGUUGCUCUGCGCUAUUUCAAUGUUGCUGGUGCCAAAGAUGAUGGGUCAAUUGGUGAAGCCCAUAAAAAUGAAACACAUUUAAUUCCAAUUAUCCUACAAACUGCACUUGGACAAAGAGAAUUUAUUACCAUUUAUGGUGAUGAUUAUCAGACUCCUGAUGGAACAUGUAUCCGUGAUUAUAUUGAUAUGGAAGAUUUGAUUGAAGCACAUAUCAAAGCACUUGAAUAUCUUAAAUCUGGUGGGAAAUCUGACCAAUUUAAUCUUGGCUCAAGUAAAGGUUAUUCAAAUCUUGAAGUGCUUGAAACAGCACGAAAAGUAACAGGAAAAGAAAUUCCAAGUCAAAUGGGUGAACGUCGUCCUGGCGAUCCAGAUGAACUUGUAGCGGACUCAACAAAAGCCGGCGAAAUUUUAGGAUGGAAAGUAAAAAAUGAUUUGGAACACAUCAUUACAAAUGCUUGGGAAUGGCAUCAAAGUCAUCCAAAAGGCUACUGAUUAAUUAUCUAAAAUUCGAAAAGAAGCUCAAUUUUUUGAGCUUUUUUU